This 253-nucleotide ribosomal RNA is filed under the name uncultured bacterium. RNAcentral's name for it is "partial 16S ribosomal RNA". It matches the Rfam family "Bacterial small subunit ribosomal RNA", at positions 524 to 776 of the family's 1533-position model. The record is from RNAcentral.
UACGGGGGGGGUAAGCGUUGUUCGGAAUUACUGGGCGUAAAGGGCUCGUAGGCGGCCAACUAAGUCAGACGUGAAAUCCCUCAGCUUAACUGGGGAACUGCGUCUGAUACUGGAUGGCUUGGAUUUGGGAGAGGGAUGCGGAAUUCCAGGUGUAGCGGUGAAAUGCGUAGAUAUCUGGAAGAACACCAAAGGCGAAGGCAGCAUUCUGGCUCGGACCUGACGCUCAUGUGCGAAAGCUAGGGGAGCGAACGGG